RNAcentral lists this ribosomal RNA (253 nucleotides) under uncultured bacterium. Its description in RNAcentral is "partial 16S ribosomal RNA". It matches the Rfam family "Bacterial small subunit ribosomal RNA", at positions 524 to 776 of the family's 1533-position model. The record is from RNAcentral.
UACGUAGGUGACAAGCGUUGUCCGGAUUUACUGGGCGUAAAGAGCGCGCAGGCGGUCGUUCAAGUCGAGUGUGAAAGCCCCCGGUUCAACUGGGGAGGGUCAUUCGAUACUGAUCGACUCGAAGGCAGGAGAGGGUAGUGGAAUUCCCGGUGUAGUGGUGAAAUGCGUAGAUAUCGGGAGGAACACCAGUGGCGAAGGCGACUACCUGGCCUGUUCUUGACGCUGAGGCGCGAAAGCUAGGGGAGCAAACGGG